This 1540-nucleotide ribosomal RNA is filed under the name Staphylococcus aureus. RNAcentral's name for it is "16S ribosomal RNA". It matches the Rfam family "Bacterial small subunit ribosomal RNA". Lineage: Bacteria; Bacillati; Bacillota; Bacilli; Caryophanales; Staphylococcaceae. The record is from RNAcentral.
AGAGUUUGAUCCUGGCUCAGGAUGAACGCUGGCGGCGUGCCUAAUACAUGCAAGUCGAGCGAACGGACGAGAAGCUUGCUUCUCUGAUGUUAGCGGCGGACGGGGGGGGAACACGUGGAUAACCUACCUAUAAGACUGGGAUAACUUCGGGAAACCGGAGCUAAUACCGGAUAAUAUUUUGAACCGCAUGGUUCAAAAGUGAAAGACGGUCUUGCUGUCACUUAUAGAUGGAUCCGCGCUGCAUUAGCUAGUUGGUAAGGUAACGGCUUACCAAGGCAACGAUGCAUAGCCGACCUGAGAGGGUGAUCGGCCACACUGGAACUGAGACACGGUCCAGACUCCUACGGGAGGCAGCAGUAGGGAAUCUUCCGCAAUGGGCGAAAGCCUGACGGAGCAACGCCGCGUGAGUGAUGAAGGUCUUCGGAUCGUAAAACUCUGUUAUUAGGGAAGAACAUAUGUGUAAGUAACUGUGCACAUCUUGACGGUACCUAAUCAGAAAGCCACGGCUAACUACGUGCCAGCAGCCGCGGUAAUACGUAGGUGGCAAGCGUUAUCCGGAAUUAUUGGGCGUAAAGCGCGCGUAGGCGGUUUUUUAAGUCUGAUGUGAAAGCCCACGGCUCAACCGUGGAGGGUCAUUGGAAACUGGAAAACUUGAGUGCAGAAGAGGAAAGUGGAAUUCCAUGUGUAGCGGUGAAAUGCGCAGAGAUAUGGAGGAACACCAGUGGCGAAGGCGACUUUCUGGUCUGUAACUGACGCUGAUGUGCGAAAGCGUGGGGAUCAAACAGGAUUAGAUACCCUGGUAGUCCACGCCGUAAACGAUGAGUGCUAAGUGUUAGGGGGUUUCCGCCCCUUAGUGCUGCAGCUAACGCAUUAAGCACUCCGCCUGGGGAGUACGACCGCAAGGUUGAAACUCAAAGGAAUUGACGGGGACCCGCACAAGCGGUGGAGCAUGUGGAUUAAUUCGAAGCAACGCGAAGAGCCUUGCCAAAUCUUGACAUCCUUUGACAACUCUAGAGAUAGAGCCUUCCCCUUCGGGGGACAAAGUGACAGGUGGUGCAUGGUUGUCGUCAGCUCGUGUCGUGAGAUGUUGGGUUAAGUCCCGCAACGAGCGCAACCCUUAAGCUUAGUUGCCAUCAUUAAGUUGGGCACUCUAAGUUGACUGCCGGUGACAAACCGGAGGAAGGUGGGGAUGACGUCAAAUCAUCAUGCCCCUUAUGAUUUGGGCUACACACGUGCUACAAUGGACAAUACAAAGGGCAGCGAAACCGCGAGGUCAAGCAAAUCCCAUAAAGUUGUUCUCAGUUCGGAUUGUAGUCUGCAACUCGACUACAUGAAGCUGGAAUCGCUAGUAAUCGUAGAUCAGCAUGCUACGGUGAAUACGUACCCGGGUCUUGUACACACCGCCCGUCACACCACGAGAGUUUGUAACACCCGAAGCCGGUGGAGUAACCUUUUAGGAGCUAGCCGUCUAAGGUGGGACAAAUGAUUGGGGUGAAGUCGUAACAAGGUAGCCGUAUCGGAAGGUGCGGCUGGAUCACCU